This 301-nucleotide ribosomal RNA is filed under the name uncultured bacterium. RNAcentral describes it as "partial 16S ribosomal RNA". It matches the Rfam family "Bacterial small subunit ribosomal RNA", at positions 509 to 807 of the family's 1533-position model. The record is from RNAcentral.
CAGUAGCCACGGUAAUACGUAGGGCGCAAGCGUUAUCCGGAAUUAUUGGGCGUAAAGAGCUCGUAGGCGGUUUGUCGCGUCUGCCGUGAAAGUCCGGGGCUCAACCCCGGAUCUGCGGUGGGUACGGGCAGACUAGAGUGAUGUAGGGGAGACUGGAAUUCCUGGUGUAGCGGUGAAAUGCGCAGAUAUCAGGAGGAACACCGAUGGCGAAGGCAGGUAUCUGGGCAUUAACUGACGCUGAGGAGCGAAAGCAUGGGGAGCGAACAGGAUUAGAUACCCGUGUAGUCCCUGUCUCUUAUAC